Molecule: ribosomal RNA, 400 nt
Filed under: uncultured bacterium
Lineage: Bacteria
Description: bacterial SSU rRNA
Rfam family: Bacterial small subunit ribosomal RNA
Source: RNAcentral
GUGUGAAGAAGGCCUUCGGGUUGUUAAAGCACUUUCAGUAGGGAGGAAGGUAGUGUAGUUAACACCUGCACUAUUUGACGUUACCUACAGAAGAAGCACCGGCUAACUCCCGUGCCAGCAGCCGCGGUAAUACGGAGGGUGCGAGCGUUAAUCGGAAUUACUGGGCGUAAAGCGCAUGCAGGCGGCCUGUUAAGUCAGAUGUGAAAGCCCGGGGCUUAACCUCGGAAUUUGCAUUUGAAACUGGCAGGCUAGAGUCUUGUAGAGGGGGUAGAAUUUCAGGUGUAGCGGUGAAAUGCGUAGAGAUCUGAAGGAAUACCGGUGGCGAAGGCGGCCCCCUGGACAGAUACUGACACUCAGAUGCGAAAGCGUGGGGAGCAAACAGGAUUAGAUACCCUGGUAG